RNAcentral lists this long non-coding RNA (4416 nucleotides) under Ananas comosus (pineapple). Its description in RNAcentral is "long non-coding RNA (ACOM_LNC012209)". The record is from RNAcentral. Lineage: Eukaryota; Viridiplantae; Streptophyta; Magnoliopsida; Poales; Bromeliaceae.
GAAUAUAAAUAUAUAUAGGAUAGGGCUACUAUACUCGUAUGAGUAUAGAGUCCUUGAUACUCAUAAAUUGUUUUUAAUGAUUGAGCUUUCGAAUCGACGAUCCACUCUGUUAAAUAUGAUUUAGAGUAUUUGAAACUUUUAAAAAAUAAAUUUCGUAAUUUUUUGAAAUUAUUAUAAAGUUCAUCAAGCGGAUAUAAAAUGAAUGGUCAAAAUCGAACGACGUCUUAAAAAUGGAUGAUCGGAUCCUUCAAUUUAAGAUCGGAGUUAUUAAUUUUUAUCUAUGUAGUGAAUAAAAUUUUCCAUUAAAAAUUCGACUAAUUUCUAUUCUUUUACACCAAUAAACUAGCAAAUAUCUCAUACCGGCCGUUAAAAAUUAUCAAUUUUGUAACAUUUUGAUCGUAAGAUAAAUGAUGUUGAAAAAUUAUAAAAUUUGACUUCUAAAUAUUUUAAAUGCUCGAGAUAACGUUUAACGGUGUGGAUCAUCGAUUCAAAACUCUAUCAUCAAAAACAACUUAUGAGUAUGAGGGCGAUCGUACUUAUAAGAGUACAGUAGUCGGACUAUAUAUAUAUAUAUAUAUAUAUAUAUAUAUAUAUAGUGUGAGACUACUAUGUUUUUGGAAGCACGGAGCCUUCCGUACUUCCAGGUUAUUUUCGAUGUUGCGACUUUUGAAUCGUCGAUCGGCUCCGUUGAACUUGAUCUAGAGUAUUUGAAGUACCUAGAAAAUAAAUUUUAUGAUUUUUCGAUAUCAUUUGCCUAGUGAUCAAAGGGGCUCAAAAUCAAUAAUUUUAAUGGCCGCAGUGAGCCGUUUGCAAGUUUAACAGUGUAGAAAUAUCCAAAUCGCGUGAAAUUUUGAUAGAAAAUUCUUUAUACUAUAUAAAACAAGAUUAAUAUCUUAGAUCUAAAAUUUUAAUGUCAUAUUAUCACGUUUUGUAAGAUUUUUAUUUUCAGCCGUUGAUUUUGAGCCCUUUCGUUCACUAGGCAAAUGAUAUCCGAAAAAUUGCAAAAAUUUAUUUCUAGUACUUCACAAUACUCUAGAUCAAGUUUAAUGGAGCUGAUCGACAAUUCGAAAGUCGCAACAUCGAAAACGACCUGAAAGCACGGAAGGCGCUCGUACUUCCAGAAGCAUUAGUAGCCUCACUCAUCUCCUCUCUCUCUCUCUUCUUCUCUCUCUCUCUUCUCUCUCUCUCUUCAUUCAUAUAUAUAUAUAUAAUAAUAUAUAUAUAAUGAGCUGAAUACUAUCGAUAAUAAAUGGAUUCCGUUGCCACCCAUUUAUUUUCGAUAUUGGAAUCUCCAAUCGACGAUCGGCAUCGUUGAAUAUUAUCUAUACGACUUGAAGUAUCUAGAAACCAAUUUCAAAUCUUUUUUACAUUAUUAACUAAUAAUCAAAAGGUUUCAAAAAAUUAUAAAUUUAAUGGUGUCAUAUGAAGCGUUUUCUCAUUUCACGAUUAAAAGAUAUCCAAAUCGAUUGAAUUUUGGUUAGAAAAUUUUUAAACUAUUUAGAUAUAGACAUAUGCUCUCGAUCUUGAACAAGAUUUCCUGUCAUAACUUUUUAAAAAAUAUCAUUUUCAGCCGUUCAUUUUGUUUCCAUUUGAUGGAUAAGAAAAAAAUAUCGAAAAAAUAUAAAAUUUGGUUUCUAAAUACUUCAAGUGUAUAGAUCAGAUUCAACGGUGCCGAUCGUUGAUUUGAGCUUCAUCAUCGAAAUAAAUAGGUGGCAACGAUCCCGUUUGCUACCAAUAGUAUUCUAGCUCAACUCUCUCUCUCUCUCUCUCUCUCUCUCUCUCUCUCUCUCUCUCUCUCUCUCUCUCUCUAUAUAUAUAUAUAUAUAUAUAUAUAUAUAUAUAUAGGGUUUUGCUAGAAUACUAUCAGUAGUAAACAGCUCAGUUUAUUACCGAUUUGUUUUCUAUGAUAGAGCUUCCAAAUUGAUGAUCGGCACCGUUAAACAUGAUCUAAACUAUUUAAACUAUCUGGAAAUCAAAUUUCACAUAUUUUCGAUAUUGUUCUCUUGUCCAUCAAGUGAACAGAAGAAUGAAUGGCUGGAAAUGAAUAUCCUUUAAAAAGUGAUUAUACAAUUUUUAUAUUUGAGAUCUAGAGUCAGAUCUUAUUUUAAAUAGUUUAAAGAAUUUUUUAACAAAAAUUUAGUUGAUUUGAACUCUGCUAUAUACUAUUGAUAAUACGGAGGUCUCCGUGCUACCAAGUUGUUUUCGAUGGUGCGGCUUUCAAAUCAAUGAUCGGCUCCGAUAGACUUAAUCUACACUGUUGAAAAUAUUUGGAAACUAAAUUUUAUAAUUUUUUGACAUUAUUUGGCUAGGAAUCAAAAGGUAUUGACAAUUUUAAUGGCCGAUGUGAUGCAUUUGUGAAUUUAAUAGUGUAAAAUAAUUCAAAUCUGAUGAAAUUUUUAUAAAUUUUUUUUUUAAUAUUAAAAGUAAGAUCAGUAUCUUUGAUUUUAAAUUCAAGUAUUUUAUCAUUACUUUUUAUAAAAUUUUUAUUUUCAACCAUUCAUUUUUAAACCACUCAUUUGAUAGGUAAAUGAUGUCGAAAAAUUAUAAAAUUUAGUUUUCAAAUACUUUCAAUAGUGUAGAUGAAGUCUAACGGAACCGAUCAUUGAUAUAGAACCCGCAUCAUCAAAAAUAACUUGAUAGCACAGGAAGGCUUCCAUGCUCCUAAUAGUAUACUGGCCGGAUUUUAUANUACCAAGUCAUUGGUACUUGUAAGUUUUCGACCCUUGGAUUAAGGAAUGUGCGGUUAGGAUGAUGUGGGCCCCCUGGGUUGAGUGGGUGGUUGGUUUAAUACUAUGAUCUAACGGGUGAAAAUCUACAAGCACCAAUAACUUGGUACUUUUAAAAGCAUAGGAGCUCAAUUUUAUAUAUAUAUAUAUAUAUAUAUAGAAUUAGGCUGGAAUACUAUUAAUAGUAAAACACUAUUUUUGCUAUCAAGUUUUUAACCCUUGGAUCAAAAAUUGUAAGGUCAGGAUGAUAUUAGUCGGUUAGAGUUGAGUGGUCCCCCUAGGGUUGAGUGGUCCCUACUGGGUUAUAGUAGUUAAUCCAAUGGUUAGAAAUAAUAAAAAAAGUUGAUCCAAAGGCUAAAAAACUGGUAGCAACAAUGGAAUUUUGCUACUAAUAGUAGCCCAGUCCAACUCUCUCUCUCUCUCUCUCUCUCUCUCUAUAUAUAUAUAUAUAUAUAUAGUUUGGCUGGUAUACUAUCAAUAGCACCAAACGUUUGGUGCUAUCAAGUUUUCCACCGUUUGAUUUACCCUUUGACUAUUUUUUACCAUUAGAUUAUACUAUUAAACCAAUAACUCACUCAACCCUAGGGGGCCUACAUCAUUCUAACCGUAUAUUUUUUUCAUCCAAGAGCCGAAUACCUAAUUAUGAUAUUAUGCACGGUUAAGAUGAUGUGGGCCCCCUAGGGUUGAGUAAGUUGUUGGUUGAAUAGUAUAAUCUAACGGUUGAAAAUAGUCAAAGCAUUAAAUCUGACGAUAGAAAAACUCGGUAGCACCAAGUGCUUGGUGGUAUCAAUAGUAUCCAGCUGAACUCUAUAUAUAUAGAGAAAGAGAGAGAGCAAUGCUUGAAUACACCAUAAGUAUUAAGAUGAAACUCUUAAUUAGUAAAGGUUAUAAUUGUAUUUUACAUAAAGUAACCUAUAGAAUAGGUUACCGAUUUGAAUUAGUUAAUAUGACAAUAUGAGAAAAAAAUUAGUAGUAUGCAAAUUUGAUAGCAUCCUAUAAUAUUAAGUAUCUUAUUUAGUUUUGUUACUUACCAAAUUUAAAAUAAAACUUUCAGUUCAAAUUUAAAAUUUUAAUUUCAAAAUUUAUAUUAAACUUUUAAAUUUUGAAUCAACAUUGCACUUUUAAUCUGAAAGCCAAAUUUUAAUUUUUGAUUUAAAUUACAAUUUUAAAUUUGAACUGAAAGUUUUAUUUUAAAUUUGUGCUUUAUAUUUAAAAGUUGAAUUUGAUUUAUAAUUAAGUUUUUUAUGUUGUUUGGUAUUUAAAUUUACAGUUUAGUUGUAAUUUGAUUUCCAACUAUUGUUGUAGGUAUUUGAGAAGGUUAUAGUAUUCUUAGUCGGAUAAAACAAGUUUUGUACACCAAAAUAUUUUUCUAAGACCAAAAUACCAUUUAAAUAGGUUUCUGGUGAAUAGUACCUAUGCCAGAAUAGUAGGUCGCCUUUAGAAUCAUAUUACAUCUCAACCAUCUAUUUAAAAAAAUAAAUGGUCAAGAUUUACAUGGUGUAUUGAAAUAUUACUCAUAUAUAUAUAUAUAGUGAGGCUACUAUGCUUCUGGAAGCACGGAGCCUUCCGUGCUUCCAGGUCGUUUUCGAUGUUACGACUUUCGAAUCGUCGAUCGGCUCCGUUAAACUUGAUCUAGAGUAUUUGAAGUACCUAGAAAAUAAAUUUUAUGAUUUUUCGAUAUCAUUUGCCU